CCUGCAGCGGCACUGUGCCCACGCGCGCCCGGGGCCAGCGCCCCCAGCGCGCACCUGGUCCCGCCCAGGGACCCCAGCCAGCAGCUGCCCUGCUCUGCUUCGCCGCCGUGUCCCUUUCUCCUUCACGGGUCCCACCAAGCUGUGUUCCCCCAUCUGAAGACAUCCCUGGGGGGCACGGGAGGGAGGCGGCCGGCCAUGCAGCAGCUGUCCUGGGGGGCCAGGUGUGGGCGUUCCUCGUGGCCAGCAUGGGGAGAGGCAGGAGGUUCAGCCGGGCACCCGUAUCUUCAGCACUUAGGAUCCUGUCUGGUGGCACAUAACACCAUGUUCAUGAAUGAGUGAGUGAGGCCUGUAGCCCCCCUGCCCUUGACAGCCGCAUAGACAGGGAGGCUUGGGGACACCUGCAUGUGGCUGAGGAAGGGACACAAGGGGGACUCGAGGAGGAAGCUGGGCAGGAAAGAGUGAUUUCCGAGUUCUGCGUAUCGCUAGCUAGGCGCAAUCACGACACACCUUGGUCAAACCGGCGGCAGGGAGCUCCCGCUGAGCGCAGUGCUGCGCGGCCGGGACAGUGGCGGCGUUUUCCCAGCUUCGCCAGCAGGCGGCGCCGUGCUUCCCUGGAGCCACACCCCCAGGACCCGCGACUGGGGGAGCGGUCGCCCAGCGUGGGCCUGGGCCGCUCCAAGGCUGCGCCGGCACUAGCCCCUCUGUCGGGGGGCAGACUUGCAGGCCCCCAGCCCUCCAGGGGUGUAUGUGUUUGUACAUCCAAAGCUGGCCCCAAACCUGAGGGGCCUGGAAAUCGUAACAACCGGGGGCUGAGAGCACGUGCUGCCAACAGACUUAAAUUCAAAUCCCUGUUCAGCCACUUAACGCCGGGUAAACUUAGGCGUGUGGCUUUGCCUCUCUCUGCCUCCGGUUUCUUACCUGUAAAGAAGGAGUCUAAUCCUGACCUCACACAGUGGUCGUAAGGGUUAAAUUGGAUAAUGCCAAUAAACACAUAUACUGAGCUCUCACAAAGGGUCAGGCAUUGUUCUAAGCACUUUACUACAUAUAUUAAUUCAUUUUUAUAGUUCCCUGUUACAUGGGAGUGACUGGGAACCAGAGACUGAGCCUCCUCCACAAAGGAAAGGAGGCCAGGCCCCCCACUGGUCCCUGGACACCACCCAGAGUUGAGGCGCUACCCAAAGGGAUGCUGCAGGCUGAGGGCCUCCUGUUCCCAGUCCUGCAACCAGUAGCCCACCCGGAGAGGGAACAGAGACCGCUGGUGGGGCGGGGUGGGGCCCCACCACCUGGAGAGCAGCCCUGGAACCCCCGAGGCGGCGGGUGCCUCCUGUCCUGUCCGUACUGGCUUCUGCUGUGGUCUGACAGUGCCCAGAGGUGUCUGGGAACAGUGCCUCUGGGGGCAGGAGGAGGGCACGGUGGUGUGCGGUGGGCACCGUGGUUUCAGCCUCCAGGUCUGUGGGCAGCAGGGUCUUCCGCAGAGGGCAGCCAGGACUGGCAGGCCCGGAGAACUGGAUUUGAGAGCCCUGUGGAAUGCUGGGGGAUGCCCAGGCAUAAAAAGGUGGUAGUCAGGAAGUAGACGUGGGUGGCGAAGUGUGCCGAGGCACAGGGCAAGCCCCUGUGCACCAAGCCGCAGAUCUCUGGGAGCCCUGGACUGGGAAAGGCUUUGAGGAAUUGUGGGGAGGGUCCCCAGGAGCCCCAUUUGCCUGCUGGGGUCUGUCCCAGUGAGGGGCAAGCAGGGUGAGCCCAGCUUCCUGUCCCUGGGCCAGGGGACAACUGGGGCCCACUGGGGACUUGGAGAGAACUCCCCACCCUGUCACCUCACUCCAGUCAGGCCACCUCUGCUCCUUGGGGUCUCAUCCUGACAAUGCCUCUCAGGCUCAAAGCAAUAGGCCUGGGGCUACCCCGAGUCCAGGCCUGGGAAGGAAAGUGGGCUCUGAGUUCACCUGAAGUUCCGGGUCCGCUGGGCUGCCAGCCGGCUGAGGUCAUAGAUACCUGAUUGUGUCGUGGAGGUUGGUGCCCACCCUCUGCUCUGUCGGUUGGCCUACUUCCUCUCCCUGGCUGCCCCUACUCUUGUCCAACAAAGGACCAGGGCACUUGGUCCUUCUAGAUCACACAUUCCAGGAACCAGAACCUCAAGGGAUGGGCUCUCAGCAGCUGGCCCUGCUCC
Long non-coding RNA from Manis javanica (Malayan pangolin), 2164 nucleotides. RefSeq lists it as uncharacterized. Lineage: Eukaryota; Metazoa; Chordata; Mammalia; Pholidota; Manidae. The record is from RefSeq and is a predicted model, not a curated record.